AGAGUUUGAUCAUGGCUCAGAUUGAACGCUGGCGGCAGGCCUAACACAUGCAAGUCGAACGGUAACAGGAAACAGCUUGCUGUUUCGCUGACGAGUGGCGGACGGGUGAGUAAUGUCUGGGAAACUGCCUGAUGGAGGGGGAUAACUACUGGAAACGGUAGCUAAUACCGCAUAACGUCGCAAGACCAAAGAGGGGGACCUUCGGGCCUCUUGCCAUCAGAUGUGCCCAGAUGGGAUUAGCUAGUAGGUGGGGUAACGGCUCACCUAGGCGACGAUCCCUAGCUGGUCUGAGAGGAUGACCAGCCACACUGGAACUGAGACACGGUCCAGACUCCUACGGGAGGCAGCAGUGGGGAAUAUUGCACAAUGGGCGCAAGCCUGAUGCAGCCAUGCCGCGUGUAUGAAGAAGGCCUUCGGGUUGUAAAGUACUUUCAGCGGGGAGGAAGGGAGUAAAGUUAAUACCUUUGCUCAUUGACGUUACCCGCAGAAGAAGCACCGGCUAACUCCGUGCCAGCAGCCGCGGUAAUACGGAGGGUGCAAGCGUUAAUCGGAAUUACUGGGCGUAAAGCGCACGCAGGCGGUUUGUUAAGUCAGAUGUGAAAUCCCCGGGCUCAACCUGGGAACUGCAUCUGAUACUGGCAAGCUUGAGUCUCGUAGAGGGGGGUAGAAUUCCAGGUGUAGCGGUGAAAUGCGUAGAGAUCUGGAGGAAUACCGGUGGCGAAGGCGGCCCCCUGGACGAAGACUGACGCUCAGGUGCGAAAGCGUGGGGAGCAAACAGGAUUAGAUACCCUGGUAGUCCACGCCGUAAACGAUGUCGACUUGGAGGUUGUGCCCUUGAGGCGUGGCUUCCGGAGCUAACGCGUUAAGUCGACCGCCUGGGGAGUACGGCCGCAAGGUUAAAACUCAAAUGAAUUGACGGGGGCCCGCACAAGCGGUGGGGCAUGUGGUUUAAUUCGAUGCAACGCGAAGAACCUUACCUGGUCUUGACAUCCACGGAAGUUUUCAGAGAUGAGAAUGUGCCUCCGGGAACCGUGAGACAGGUGCUGCAUGGCUGUCGUCAGCUCGUGUUGUGAAAUGUUGGGUUAAGUCCCGCAACGAGCGCAACCCUUAUCCUUUGUUGCCAGCGGUCCGGCCGGGAACUCAAAGGAGACUGCCAGUGAUAAACUGGAGGAAGGUGGGGAUGACGUCAAGUCAUCAUGGCCCUUACGACCAGGGCUACACACGUGCUACAAUGGCGCAUACAAAGAGAAGCGACCUCGCGAGAGCAAGCGGACCUCAUAAAGUGCGUCGUAGUCCGGAUUGGAGUCUGCAACUCGACUCCAUGAAGUCGGAAUCGCUAGUAAUCGUGGAUCAGAAUGCCACGGUGAAUACGUUCCCGGGCCUUGUACACACCGCCCGUCACACCAUGGGAGUGGGUUGCAAAAGAAGUAGGUAGCUUAACCUUCGGGAGGGCGCUUACCACUUUGUGAUUCAUGACUGGGGUGAAGUCGUAACAAGGUAACCGUAGGGGGACCUGCGGUUG
This 1522-nucleotide ribosomal RNA is filed under the name metagenome. RNAcentral's name for it is "bacterial SSU rRNA". It matches the Rfam family "Bacterial small subunit ribosomal RNA". The record is from RNAcentral.